RNAcentral lists this transfer RNA (71 nucleotides) under Deltaproteobacteria bacterium. Its description in RNAcentral is "tRNA-Gln". It matches the Rfam family "tRNA". Rfam says of the family: Transfer RNA (tRNA) molecules are approximately 80 nucleotides in length. Their secondary structure includes four short double-helical elements and three loops (D, anti-codon, and T loops). The record is from RNAcentral. Lineage: Bacteria; Pseudomonadati; Myxococcota; Myxococcia.
UGAGGAGUCGUCCAACGGCAGGACACCUGGCUCUGACCCAGGGAAUCUAGGUUCGAAUCCUAGCUCCUCAG